This 145-nucleotide unclassified non-coding RNA is filed under the name Arsenophonus endosymbiont of Trialeurodes vaporariorum. Its description in RNAcentral is "GlmY_tke1". It matches the Rfam family "GlmZ RNA activator of glmS mRNA", at positions 3 to 156 of the family's 214-position model. From Rfam's summary of the family: This RNA was discovered in E. coli during a large scale screen. The record is from RNAcentral. Lineage: Bacteria; Pseudomonadati; Pseudomonadota; Gammaproteobacteria; Enterobacterales; Morganellaceae.
AGAUGCUCAUCCUGCUUCUUGUGAUAGCUUUCAGCUUCAUAAACUAUUGGAUGACGCAGAGCCAAUUUGAUGUGCCUAUUGUCCACGUUAUCGAUGCAUAAUAUCCAUCACCAACCGGACGCAACGUUGAGUGAGGCACAAUCCG